CCGACCUUAGCUCAGUUGGAAGAGCGUCAGACUGUAACAGGAUAAACUUGAUCUUCGAGUAAUAUGCACAAGGUGAUCUGAAUGUCGCCUGUUCGAACCAGGCAGGUCGGA
Molecule: non-coding RNA, 111 nt
Organism: Pterulicium gracile
Lineage: Eukaryota; Fungi; Basidiomycota; Agaricomycetes; Agaricales; Pterulaceae
Source: the annotation of a GenBank genome assembly